UUUGCAGGGAUUGUGUGUAUCGGUUUUGUGCUUUAAAUCAAUGCAUUCUUCCGAAAGAGUUCCCUGCAACAUCAAUUUUGAGAAAAUGGGCAGUUGUGCUUCAUCUUUUUUCUAUUGAAUAUCACAACAAUCAUUUUCCCUACAUCU
This is a small nucleolar RNA of Lotus japonicus, 147 nucleotides long. RefSeq annotates it as small nucleolar RNA snoR135. The transcript has a single exon. The record is from RefSeq and is a predicted model, not a curated record. Lineage: Eukaryota; Viridiplantae; Streptophyta; Magnoliopsida; Fabales; Fabaceae.